RNAcentral lists this long non-coding RNA (9828 nucleotides) under Solanum tuberosum (potato). Its description in RNAcentral is "long non-coding RNA (STUB_LNC008163)". The record is from RNAcentral. Lineage: Eukaryota; Viridiplantae; Streptophyta; Magnoliopsida; Solanales; Solanaceae.
UGUGUUCUUGAUAUUGUGACUCAUUACGUAAUUGCUUCAGUGUUGUUGUCAUUUGUUCAUGUUGUUUGUUGCUUGCCACCUGCAAAGUGUUAUAGUUUAUUUUAUGUUAUUACUGUAUGCAUAAUGGUUUCUAUUUUGAGUCGGUCGAAGAUAUCUACUUAGUUCAUGUUGCCUUGUGCUGAGCCUUACUGGUGUUUUUCUUUGUUUUCCUUCUGUGGAGUGCAACAAGUGUACCAGCGGCUUCGAUUCACCCUUAGCUCUAGCCAGUCUCUAGCACAUCAGGUUCCAGGGUGAGCUAUUCAUUAUUGCUCGUAUUGAAAAUUCUCUCAGUCAUGACAUGAUUUCCUUAGUUUUCGGACACAAAUUACUUUAUUCAUUUAUUUUGGUUUUAAUAUUCUUAGACUUAGUAUUUGGAGAUUAGAUGUCCUUGAUGUGAUGACUUUCAGGUUUUGAGAAAUUAUAUUUAAUAGACUUUAGUGGAUUGGUGUUUCAUACAUUAAUAAGAUUUGAGCUUCCGCAUUAUGGUUAGUAUUUCGUAAGUUGAAUGAUAAAUAUAAGUUGAGGUUCAAUUCGUUGGUUCGCCCACCUAAGAGGUUAAGUAUGGGUGCCACUCAGGACUUAUUUUGGAUUGUGACAAACUUGGUAUGAGAACUUUAGGUUCGGUGAUCUUAUCACACAAGGACAAGUCUAGUAGAGUCUUAUGGAUCGGUAAGGGGACACCUUUACUUUUCUUAAAGAGGAUAUAGGACUUUAGGAAAACUCAUUCCUUAUUUCUUUCGUGCUAUUACUUGAAUCCAAUUGGUAUCUAGGUGAUACAAAUUAGUAUCCGGCCUUUUUUACUCUAUUUCACAUAUGGUCAGAGCUAGAGCAAUAGAAGUGGCAACACCACCACUAGCAAGAGAGGAUGCGUCCUCGAAAAUAAGUAUGUUUCCACGAUUCAUUGUUGACAUGUAAUGACUUGUGACUAACAUGAUCUUUUUAUUAAGUUCUUAGUGUUGAAACACUCAUCCUUCAUGGGUAUUGAAUAUGAAGAUGCUUAUGAUUUCAUUGUUGAUUGUCAUGAGUUGCUUCAUAAGAUGAAUAUAGUGGAGAGGUUUGAUAUUGAGUUUGUGACAUACCAAUUUCAAGGAGACGCCAAAAUGUGGUGGCGGUCUCAUGUUGAGUGCUGACCAGUAAAGACAAUACCUAUGACUUGGGCAUCAUUUUCUAGCUUCUUAAUGGAAAAGUAUAUACCCCGAACUUUUAGGGAUAGGAGGAGAGAUGAGUUCCUGAAUAUAAAGCAACGGAAGAUAUAUGUUGCAACUAAUGAGGCCAAAUUUCUUGCUUUAUCCAGAUAUGUAACUCAGCUUUGCUUCAGCCCGGAAGAACGGAUUUGUUGCUUUGUGAAGGGAUUGAGGUCAAAUUUGCAUAUUAAAGUCUUAUAGGUGGUUGCUUCAACAAUUUUUUUUCAGGAAGUGGUUGAUUUUGUGAUGGAGGUAGAAGGGGUGGAGUCAGAUGACUUUGAUAAAGUGACAAUAUUCAAGAAAUUUCGUAAGAGACGACUAGAUAUUGAACACCAUUACUUUGGAAAAUAUAGUUAGUAAAGUUGUCAUAACAUGUAUGGGUUGCUUAACGAAUGAUGAAAUUAUGUUAUGCCAACUGAGGUCAGAAUAUCUACUACAACUUUAUAGAUUGAGUGUAUAUCAAAGAGGGUCAUCUAUGCUUACUUGGUUAGAGUUAUGAAGUGUGCUACUUUUGUUGUUGACUUGAUCUAAGAAGGAAUGCAAACCGUCGGGGCUAGAGACAGAACGAUUUUGAUAAUGUUUGGUAGUUAUUCAAUGGGUAAAAGUGUGUGGGCUAUUUGGAUAUGAUCUUCUCUAUACAUAUGAUUUUUUCUAGUGAUGGAUCUAACGGAUUUUCACGGUGUGGUACUAGUGUUAUGUGGAAACAAAUACGUCGAUUUUCAAGUGUGAAUACUAACUAAUUAAGGAGUUAUUAGUUGUAUGACGUGUUCAAAUAUUGAGAUUUGGUGUUCCAUUCACAUUUGAUAAACCAACUAGUUUGUUACUACAUGCGCUUGCGUUAAGCUUUGUUUUUAAGGGAGAUCUUAUUAAUGGAUCAUUGGUACGGUAUUAAUUCAUUUAGGCUAUGAAGUGUAUCGUGAGGAUUCUAAAUGAGGAUGGGUGAUUUUAUCUUAAGCUCCAAAGGACUAGAUUAAUAUCGAAAUGACAAACUUAAGGAUAAAGAAAUUCCCAGUGAGUAUACUUGGGUGAAGGAAAUUAAAAAUUUUAGUUAGAAAGUGAGUAUAAAAUUAGGUUAGUCCUUUGGACUUGAUUGGUAUAACAAAGCUUGAGGUGUCAUGUCUAUGAAAAGGUUGACUUCAUGGUGAUGGAAAGAGCGAACUGAUCAUGAUGGUAAUAAAAGUUUGUGAUUGAUUGUGAUUGAGAUGCAACUAUAUAAUAAGGAUUGUUGGUUAAGAAUUUUUUUUGGUAAUAACGACAGGCGAGUAUCUAAGGUUUUGAUUUUCUACUAUUUGUAACGUAGUUGUAUGAAAAUGUUUAAGAGAUGCUGGGACACCGCUCGAAUAAAAUUUAAGGGAGCUAGAGUCAUAAAUUUUUUUUAGUGGGAUGUAGUGUAGCUUUCGGAAAGAGGUGAGAGAAAAAUAUUUUUCUCUGAUUGCAAGGGUUAAAGAGGUAUCUUCAGAUGGGUUGAGAAUUGGGUUCAGAGACGUGUGGUUUCAUCCAUUUUCUCUGGUUAUGGUAAUAGUGUUACAAAUUCAUCAGAUUGGUUAAAAACUAUUGGAUCAGAUUUUAGAAAAGAGUGUACAUAUGUUUAGCUCGAGUGCGAUGGUAAGCUCUUUUGUAGUUUUGAGUUUGGUGAUGAGUACAAUUGAAUGUUUAGCGACAAAUAUGGUAAGGUCAAUGGAGAGGCGAUCAAUAAUAAGCUACGAUACUUGAAUUCAUAAUAAUCUUCAAGGUAUGAGCUAAUGUUGAUAGAUAAGGAGAUUAGGUUACACAGUUAGGUUCAAAAUUUAAAUUUUUUUAUUGUAAGUCUACAUUCCUGAUAGUAUAUUUUGUCAAGGUAUGAAUUUGUAAGGUAAGAAAUGAUCGAUUGCAUCGGGUAUUGAGCAUUUGGAAGGACUUAUGCAUGGUUUGGGUAGUAAAGUUUGUUACUUUUGAUUGUUAAAGUGCCUAAGAAAGGGUUGUGUUGGUUUAGAGUAAGGUAAAUGGCCGGAGUGGUUAUGAUGGUUGUUAGUGUUGAGAGCGUGAGCUUCAGUGGAAUGAUGUGAAGAGUAUGUGGAGUUUGAUAAAUAGAGUAUAGGUGCGAUCGUAAUAGGGACCAGACCGGUGAAUUGUGGGUAGCUAAAAAUCAAAGAAAUAGAGUCAAAUAAAUGGAAAUGUUCGAUAUAGGCUUUUUAGAGGAAGCAUUUGGUGUUAUUCAACCUUGGUCCCAUACAUUCUUAUGAGACCACCUAUUUUGUUUUGUAAAUGGUUUGGAGUAUGAUUCACUAGCUAUGCCCACACACGUUUUUUACUUUUGUGGAUGGAUCCCUAGUGGUGAAUCGGGUGUAAUGAUCCUGUGAUGUCCUCUUGGUUGAGUAAGAUGGUUGGGCAAAAUUCGUUAUCUCAUAUGACAUUUUUGGUUUCUCUUGGAAGUGUUGAAGUAUUCUAGUGGUUCUACAUGUACCACCUUGCUUAUGAAAAUUAAUACAAGAGCUUUCAUGGGUAUUUACAGUUAUUCGACGGCCUUAACGUUCAUCUAGUCAUCAAGGUCAUGUUUCGGGUAUGUGUGGUUCAAUGUGGGGGACCAUUGGGUCUAGUUCAACUGUUCCUAAGGGUUAUCUACAAACUAAUGUAGCAUUUCAACAGUGUUGUUAAAGGUUUUGUAUGCUUGGGUGUAUCACUUGAUGGGUGGUUACUUGAUCACUUCCUUCUUGGGGUUAGAUAAGUUUGAUUCUCCCUUGAUGGGUACCUGAUGUCUAAAGAUCAAAUUUUUAUAACUUAAGCUCAAGGAAAGUUUAUGUUGUGAGAAGGAAAUAUUGAUCAGAUCUAUGAUGGUUUGUGCAUUGCGAGUGUGGUGUGGUUGGUUCAACUUCACUUCUUGUUGUAGCCAGUAUUGAUUCAUGAUUUUAUCACGGUUAUGUGAGAAAUUUUUUUUUCCUGAUAGUUGUGUCAAGGUCCUUGAGAACAUGUUGUGGACGUGUGUACGAUUAACUCUGGUGAUUAUUGGGAAUAAUUUUGGUUGUUAGUUGAGUUUACAUACAACAAUAGUUAUCACUCGAAUAUUGAUAUGGCCCCAUUUGAGGCAUUGUAUGGGAGGAGAUGUAGGCUUCCCAUUGAUUGGUUUGAUGCAUUCGAGGUGAGACCAUGGGGUACUGAUCUUUUGAGGGAACCGUUAAAGAAAGUGAAAUUCAUACAGGAGAAGCUUCUAGUAGCUCAGAGCAGACAAAAGGAGUAUGCAGAUCGGAAGGUCAGAGACUUGGAGUUUAUGGAGGGAGAUCAAUUGUUGCUGAAGGUUUCACCAAUGAAGGGUGUAAUGAGGUUUGGUAAGUGAGGUAAGCUUAGUCAGAGUUAUAUUGGGCCAUUUGAAAUUCUUAAGAGGGUGGGAGAGGUGGCCUAUGAAUUGGCUUUGCCUCCAGGGUUUUUAGGAGUGCACCCGGUGUUUAAUGUGUCUUUGUGAAGAAAUACCAUGGUGAUGGAAACCACAUUAUUCGUUGGGAUUCGUUCUACUUGAUGAUAAUUUGUCUUAUGAGAAGGAGCCCAUAGCUAUUCUAGAUAGGGAGGUCCGCAAGUUGAGGUCAAAGGAGAUUGCAUCUGUAAAGGUCUAGUGGGAGAAUCGUCUGAUGAAAGAGUCCACUUCGGAGGCUGAUAUGCACAAAAGAUAUCCACACAUUUUUGUCGAUUCAGGUAACCUUCCUUACCCUCACCUUCUUUUGAUCGUUCGAGGACAAACGAUUGGUAAAUUGGUAUCUGAUGUAACGACUCAUUUGGUCGUUUGGAGUACUAUAGCUUCUUAUUUCAUAAAAGACUCUACUGAUAUAUUCUAAAUGGGUAUUUUGGACCAUUCGUAACUACAAUUAUAGAAUUAAUGGGGUAUUUUAAUAAUUAAUUUUUAGUUGGUAGUUAAUGAGACAAGUCUGAAAUUUAUUUAAUGUCUUAUACCACUUGACCCAUAUUUAUUAAAAUAAAUUAAUAGGGUUUAUCAUUUUUUUUGUGCGUAAUUAUUUUAUUUAGAAAAGAAUAGAGGGAACCGAGAAGAGUAGAUCUGCCGCAUCUCAAAGAUAAACCCGAGAGGUAAAUAAUAUGUGCAAUUUCUCUACAUCUUGUUUACGAGAUUUCAUUCUUAAAUUGUCAAUGACAUUUAAUAUAUAUAUCAAGUUGCUGCUAAUUGAUUUUUACGGCUGAAUAUUGGAACAAGUUCGGUAGUCAAUAAUGAAGCAAUGAUUGCUCUAUAAGUGAGUGGUCAAUUAAUUGUUCUUAGAUUCAAUUAAUAAGUGAGUGGUUAAUGCUUCAAUUUGUUCCGUAGCGAACAAUGGGUUUCGCUAACAGGGAAUUUCAACUCUUAAUUAAUUUAAUUUUAUUAUCAUAUUAUAAUUUAUGUUUUGAUAUAUUGAGAUAAGUAAUUUAAUAUUAGGUGUAUUGCAUUACUUAAAUAUCAUUAAAGUUGUGAUAAUUGGAAUAAUUAAGACUUACCCUUAGGCUUGAACUUUAGAAAAUUGACUAUAGAUUUGGGUGAGUUUUUGGGUCUAAGCUAGAUAUAUAGUAAUAUAGGUUUCUAUAGACUCGGUUGCUUAUGAAUAUUGUAUACUUGAUAGAUUGGAAACUUUUCAAGGCAUUGAGGAAAGGAAAAGCAUUGUGGAAUUAGCUUGCUUGACUUCGGUUCUUCGGUGAAGGUAAGUUAUGGUUUAUUCUAUGUGAUAGAUAGACUCUUAAUAGUGAUUGAUAGUCAUUGAGAGAUAUUGUGAAUUUUUCUAUUUACUUGGUUAUUGUGGUUUGGAUAAUUCAUGUGUGGCUAUGAUUGGUCUGUAAUCCCAAGACCGCGAAAUCCAUAAUCUUGAACUUGUUCUAUUAAAGUGAUGCCUUGAAUAAAGAAGACUUGAUGAAAUAUUAUUAAGCAACUGGAAAGAGAUGAUAAAGAAUGACAAAUGAAUUAACUAUAUGAUUGGAUCAGGUGCCACGAGCCGGCACGAUAUAUUUGGAUCGGGUGCCAUGAGCCGACACGGUAUUAUUGGAUCGGGUGUCACGUUCCGACAUAGUAUUAUUGGAUCGGGUGUCACAUUCUAACACGGUAUUAUUGGAUCGGGUGUCACGUUUCGGCACAGUAACAUUAAAUGAAAACAUAUUUAAUUAACUUAAUGUACUCAAUCUCAAAGAAUCCAUUUUCCAAAUGAGCGUAGAGUGGAGGCAUGAGUCCUCGUGUGUGUUCUUGAUAUUGUGACUCAUUACGUAAUUUCUUCAGUGUUAUUGUCACUUGUUCAUGUUGUUUGUUGCUUGCCACUUGCUAAGAGUUAUAGUUGAUUUCAUGUUAUUACUUUAUGCACAUUGGUUUCUAUUUUGAGUCGGUCAAUGAUAUCUACUCAGUACAUGUUGCCUUGUAUUGAGCCAUACUUGUGUUUUUCUUUGUUUUCCUUUUGUGGAGUGUAGCGAGUGUACCAACGACUUCGACUCGCCCUUAGCUCUAGCCAGUCUCCAGCACAUUAGGUUCCAGGGUGAGCUAUUCAUUAUUGCUCGUAUUGAAUUCUCUCAGUCAUGACAUGAUGUCCUAAGUUUUCGGAAACAAACUACUUUAUUCAUUUAUUUUGGUCUUGAUACUCUUAGACUUAGUAUUUGCAGAUUAGAUGUUCUUGAUGUGAUGAAUUUUAGGUUCUGGGAAACAAUAUUUAAUAGACUUUAGUGGAUUGGUGUUUCUUACAUUAAUAAGAUUUAAGCUUCCGCAUUAUGGUUAGUAUUUCGUAAGUUGAAUGAUAAAUAUAAGUUGAGGUUCAAUUCGUUGGUUCACCCACCUAAGAGGUUAAGUGUGGGUGCCACUCACGACUCGUUUUGGGUUAUCGUGACAAUAUGGUUAAUAAUAUAUCCCAACAGAUUUAAUGGAUGAUUAGUUAUGUUUAUUGUUUUACAAAUCUGAAAUUUGAAAAUGUACUUAAUUAGUUGUUGAAAUCGUUGAUUCUUUUGAACAACAGAGCUUAAAGUGUAAAGCAAUCAUAUAAUUUUAGAUAGUUAAUUGUGCUCACAAAAAGAGAGACUGCUAUAUCAGCCUCGAUCAAAGAUUAUGAAAUAGCAUGUCGAAUUGAUGUCAUUCUUCAAAUUAGAUAUAAUUUGAGCGAGAAUAUUUAUAACCUCGCAAAAAAAUCGAAGAGUUUCUUUUAAUAAUCUCUGCCAAAUUUGCAAGUGGAUUACUCGUGUUGUUGCCUUCUCAAAGUAUAUGGGUUAGUAGUUAUUGUAGGCCUUAGUAAUUAGCAUGCACAUCCAUUUGAUAUUAAUUAAUGAAAGUAGUUACAGAGCAAGAAAGUUCUAUCUCAAAUCUUAGCUCAUGUCUAUUAAAAAAAAGACAUGUGUUGUCUUGGAUAGACCUCUCGAAUAUCCCAUGAUGUAAUUAUUCAAUAAUUUUGUACAAUUUUAAAAGUUGUCACGUGUCUACUCAAAUAUAAGACUCAGACUGAAAGCAUAAGUUAUAUCUAAUGUUGACAAGCAAAUACACGUGUACAUGAAUGCGUUUCUCAGCAUUAAGCUCAUGAAAAUAAAAAAAGGGACAUCUUGGAAGAUUUAUUAGAUCCUUUUGCUGCUAUGAUUAUGUAUGGCUCCAAAAGUUUACAAGAAGCAAAUGGUUCCUCUAAAGUUUAUGAUUGUAUGUUCUUUGUUAGACAUCACUAAUUGGUAUUAAUGAAUGGAUGCUCUUUGUUGGAGAUUCAUGAUUUGGUGCAAAGAUUCUCUAAAUCUUGGCAUACUGAUCGUAUAGAUACCCCCCCCCCCUUAAUAUCCAUAAAACUUGAGUUAACCAGGAGAGAAAAAUACCCUUUUAAGUAUUCUAUUUUUUAAAAAAAUUUAUUAUUAUUAUUAUUAUUUCUUCUGGGCCUCUUAUCCAGAGAAUACCUCCAAUAAAAUGUUUUUCCAAACUUUCUUUGAUGAUGAAACUAUUGUUACUAUCCUCAUGGUACUUAGAUUACCUAGAGAUCUGAAAGGUCUUAUUUUGGAUAAACUUAUUGAUAAUAUUUUAAAUGAAGAUUUCGAAGAGUUUCUUAUGCUUGAUUACCUAGAAGAUUAUCUGACCGAUUAUUUCUCUGAAUGACAAAAGGUUGUUAUAUUUGCAGGAUGAAUCCACCAUGGAUUCACACAAAUGGCAGAGGAAGGGGGAGAUCAUCCCAAGGACCGUCAUACGGAUCCAUGGCCAGUUCAUCUCAGGGAUCGUCAUACAUAUCCUCAUCAAAUUCCCCGAUUAUACAAAUGGGAAGAAAAACGUUGAUAACUAAAAAGAUUUCUUUACAAGAAGAAGCUUUGCCUGGUUCAAAGCAAACUGUUAAUUUGGAAGAUAUUCCAAAAGACAGUCCCUUAUACGGUCACAUGCAGGCAUAUUUGACUGCUCAAAAGCAAAAAUAUACUUUUGCUUCUGUUACCAAAGAGGAUAAUGAUGAUAUUAAAUCCUACGAAAAUGUACCAAAGAAAGAAAUGAUAUUUCUCUUAGAAAACUCUGAACUUCAGAGAAAGAAUGAACCAUGGAAGAUAUUCCAAAGGUACUUAAUCAACGGAUUGUACUAUCCGGAUGAGUCAUAUAAGACUCGAUCAUAUUAUGAAGAAAUCUUGAUAAGUUCAGGAAGUGGGACUAUGUCCGGCUAAAGAUCUCAUAUCUAUGUUGAAUAACUAACUUCUCUCCUAUAUAGACCAUGAACGAUCUAAGCUUUAUUAAAAUAUAAAGGAAUUUUGGUAUGGUUUCUCGACUUGGUUCUGAGAUCGAGGUACAGUCGGAUCUAGUACUACUCUUAUUGGCUCCGUCUGGCCAGCCGUGGUUCACAACCCGAUAAAGGAGUUGAAAAGGGCUCCCUAUACUCGGUUAGAACUGCCAGACAUAUGGGCUCAAUAAGAAAUAUGUAUUAGAUUCUUGACAGACCCUUUGCUCAGGUAAAAUUAACACUAUGCAGUCCGAGAAGCUAUAUAAAAAUUCUUGUGUAUUUCAAUUCUUAACCAGGCGGACUACCGCUAGUUUAAGGAUGCUAAAUUGCUAGAUCAACUACCUGUCGGUAGUCCGCCCAGUCAAAGAUCUAGCAAUUUAGCAUCCUUAAACUAGCGGUAGUCCGCCUGGUUAAGAAUUGAAAUACACAAGAAUCUUUAUAUAGCUUCUCGGACUGCAUGUUGUUAAUUUUACCUGACCAAAGGGUCUGUCAGGAAUCUAAUACAUACUUCUUAUUGAGCCCAUGUGUCUGACAGUUCUAACCGGGUAUAAGGCGCCCUUUUCAACUCCUUAAUCGGGCUGUGAACCACGGCUGGCCAGACGGAGCCACUAAGGCAAAGCCAAUAAGAGUAGUACUAGAUCCGACUGUACCUCGAUCUCAGAACCAAGUCGAGAAACCAUAACAAAAUUCCUUUAUAUUUUAAUAAAGCUUAGAUUGUUCAUGGUCUAUAUAGGAGAGAAGUUAGUUAUUCAACAUAGAUAUGAGAUCUUUAGCCGGACUUAGUCCUGGCUAGGAGAGACAGAGUAAUAUGAAGACUAAAAAUAAAAUUACCUUAUAAGGACGGUUGUCACCAAAGUCCAAAAAGUGAAGAAUUGAUCGGAUUAUUAUUUGAGAACGGUAAUAGGAACAGAGCUUACAAAGGGGUUUCUUUACAAAGAUUGAAAACUAUGAAAACUAGAGAGGGA